UUAUUCGGCUCCUUCCUCCUUUCCCUACAUUCCUCCUUUCCCUACAUUCAGACCAGAUUAACCUAACGUUGCGGCACCGCCUCUCUACUGGCCGUCUUUCGCUUCGUCUCCGCCGUACUGACCAUCAUCGCUUGAAUCGGCCGAUUCCGAACCAGCUUUUUUAUAUGCUGUUUACUGAGGACACCGGUGUAUGUCGCACCACAUCACUCGAUUUUGACCGGAUCUGGGCUGGCUCUUGCAUCGUGCCAACUGGACUUUAAAAUAAAGCUUCGACACCCUUGGUAAAUAGGGUUUACUACAGUUAAAUUCAAAGAGAGAACCCAGAGAACACCGGUGUAUGUCGCUCCACAUCAGUCGAUUUUGACCGGAUCUGGGCUGGCUCCCGCAUCGUGUUACAUCAACCUUCCGAUUUGAACACAGGAACCCUUCUUGCUCCAGUUUUUCCCCGAUUUCUGGUUAGUCAUUAUCUUGCUCCAGUCCUUGCCCGAUUUUUUGUUACUUCGCUGAUAAAAUUCUUCAGUUAGUGAUCUGAAUUUCG
RNAcentral lists this long non-coding RNA (538 nucleotides) under Helianthus annuus (common sunflower). Its description in RNAcentral is "sRNA HanXRQr2_Chr09g0387541". Lineage: Eukaryota; Viridiplantae; Streptophyta; Magnoliopsida; Asterales; Asteraceae. The record is from RNAcentral.